Brassica napus (rape) is the source of this 1725-nucleotide RNA transcript. RefSeq lists it as uncharacterized. The record is from RefSeq and is a predicted model, not a curated record. The transcript is spliced from 7 exons. Lineage: Eukaryota; Viridiplantae; Streptophyta; Magnoliopsida; Brassicales; Brassicaceae.
CAUUUUCAUUCAGACUUCUCCUCUCCUUCUGUUUUUUUUUUUUUUGUGUAAAAAGAUAAUAUAGAAAGAACUCUCUUUUUAUUAUUUCUUCUUUUGUAGUUUGGUCCGAAGGACUUUUUCUUGAUAUGGAGGCGGUUUUUUGGCUGUUGGAUUUCGAGACUGAUCCACUAUCAUCCGGUGGUUAUCUUCCGCCGCCGUCUCCGGUGAUUGUAUACCGUCGCCGUUACCGGUUUCUCUCUACCGUCGCCGUUACCGGUUACUCUCUACCGUUGCCGUUUCCAGUUCUUCUCGUUCGAGGCCUUUUCCGGUUACAGAUGAACCUGCGGAUCUUCAACGGUUGCAACAGAUCUAGAUCUCUCAAAGGUGGUUGGAUAAUUGGCCCAUGGACCUUAUAUAGAUCUCUGGCCCAGGUUAUCAGAUCUUUGAGCCCAUUGAAGAUUGGAUACAAAUACAGAAAAUUAGCUGUCCAAGCAAAAAAAAAGCUGGCUUCUCUUAGGUAUUCUCUACUACAUAUCAAACAUGCGCCCAUCUAACAAAUGCAAGCAUGGCUCAUCCUAUAAAUACAGGAAGACUAGCUUUUCCAAACCACAAAUCAAAAAAACCCGACUCCUCUUAGAUCAAACAUAGCUUCUGAAAUUCUGCUUAAGGAAUGUUGAGCAAAGAGAUGCUAUUCUCGUGGAGACUGGUGGUUCCAUGUUUGCUCCGUGAUAUCAUGACCCAGGGUAAAGACAUCUGUUGGGCAAUUGCCUUCAUAAGGCAGUUUGAGUUUCUCCUAAAGAAAAACAACCGUAUGGAUAAGGAUGAGCAUCUCUCUGUUCAAUAUUUCAUCAACAACACACCCAAAACAUUUAUGGAAAAAAAAGGGUCAGGGUGGGAUCAUGGACAUUUAUGAUCUACCAAAGGUUUUGUUGGAUCAUGGCACAGUCUUGGAGAAACACUGUCCACUAUCUGAGACCCUUCAAGUUACAAGAUUGGAUGCUGAUGAGAAAGUCACUGUGUACCGUCCUAGCAAAGUUAGAGUGCGCUCCUUGUGUGACAAGGAGUUUGAAGAUGAUGUAGAUCGUUUCCAUCGUUUUCAUGGAAGUCUUGUUCAUCAGAUUGAGGUAGGAUGCGCCGCUGCAAGAAUACCUAUCUAUCCAAGCUAUGCUAAACUUAAAGGAAAGGAAAUUUAUUGUCCAAGCAAAGCAGAGUUGAAGAAAGACGAACUACAUGGGCAUAUUGUCCUUUUCACGGGAUAUGGUUGUGAUGAAAAUAAUAAAGUCUACUAUCAGUUCCAAGAGACAGCUGGAACAUCAGUGGGAGAUCAAGGUUAUCACUACGUUUAUGCCGACUUCGUCGAAAUGUAUGUAGAGAUGGAGCCAGAGAUGGAGCUGUGAGCUAAUACUGUUUGCUCACUCUGCAGAAUUGCUUCUGUCAUCUAAUUUCCUGACAGGUUGCUGCUGACGGAUAUGGUAUACAAAUAACAACAAUAAUGGAAGUUUGAAGUGGAAUAAGUGAAUAACUUGGGAGACUUGUUAAUAGCUGUCGUGGAAGUUUGAAGUAUUAAUAAUUUGGGAGACUUGUUAAUAGCAGUCGUGAUUGAUAUAACCGACCUUAUAUGGUUUAAUAGAUCUUUGAAAUAGAAUAAACUUGAUUGACUUUGUCAAUAUGGUCGUGUCUGAUACAACCGACCUUAUAUGGUUUACAAAUAAAUGAAGUAAAAUAAUUUGGAAGAGUUUGUUACUA